Molecule: unclassified non-coding RNA, 377 nt
Filed under: plant metagenome
Description: partial contains 5.8S ribosomal RNA, internal transcribed spacer 2, and large subunit ribosomal RNA
Rfam family: 5.8S ribosomal RNA (bases 1-104)
Source: RNAcentral
AAAUGCGAUAAGUAAUGUGAAUUGCAGAAUUCAGUGAAUCAUCGAAUCUUUGAACGCACCUUGCGCUCCUUGGUAUUCCUUGGAGCAUGCCUGUUUGAGUAUCAUGAAAUCUUCAAAGUAAAUCUUUUGUUAACUCAAUUGGUUUCUACUUUGGUAUUGGAGGUCUUUGCAGCUUCACACCUGCUCCUCUUUGUUCAUUAGCUGGAUCUCAGUGUUAUGCUUGGUUCCACUCGGCGUGAUAAGUUAUCUAUCGCUGAGGACACUGUAAAAGGUGGCCAAGGUAAAUGCAGAUGAACCGCUUCUAAUAGUCCAUUGACUUGGACAAUACUUUUAUGAUCUGAUCUCAAAUCAGGUAGGACUAACCGCUGAACUUAAGC